UAGUUCCAAAAAUGUUUAUUUUUAGAGAUUUGAAAACCACUGAACCAUCCAGAAUAAUUACAGUUCUUUACAUUUGAACUUAAUCACAUUUAGUAUUUGCAGAAACUCGUUUUGCUAAUAUUACAGCUGUAAGUUUGUUGGGAGGAUUUCUCUAUAUUUUCCAUUUCUUGCCAAAUUUCCCAGUUGGAUUCAGGAAAUGACUUGAAAACUCAGAGCGCAACUUCCUUCUUCAAGAAACGUAACCAAACGUGGCGUAGCGUCAGAUUUUAGCGUUUGUAGGAUUUCUGGUUUGUCUUUGGUAAAAGACCAGCUGGACCGCCAUGUUUGUUUUGGUUGUAUUUACCCAGAAUGCCCUGCGCUGCUCUUCGCUUCCUGCUUUUGGAGCGGCUGGUAGGCGGACCAGAACUCCCUAAACGAACCGGACUCUCCAGGCAAAUGAACUACAGCUUAAAGCUGAACAGGGCUGGUGUGAACGCACCCUUAACUCCACUAUAAGUUCUCAGGACAGCUGAUGGAGCGUUCAGGAGACGUGUUGGUUAGAGGAACGGGGGACCAGUCUGAGGUCGGCACAUGCCUGACCUGACAUGCAGAGGAAGACUGAUGUUGACAUCCGACCUCAAUGAAACAUAAGAACUGAAAAGAACUUCACUGGAAGCAAGAUGGAGGCAGGACGGAUCGACGUUCUCAGCAGCAGCAGCCUGUUCCGAACAAGGCGGGGACAGCGUGAACCG
Molecule: non-coding RNA, 731 nt
Organism: Poecilia reticulata (guppy)
Lineage: Eukaryota; Metazoa; Chordata; Actinopteri; Cyprinodontiformes; Poeciliidae
Source: RefSeq, a predicted model, not a curated record